Molecule: ribosomal RNA, 274 nt
Filed under: uncultured bacterium
Lineage: Bacteria
Description: partial 16S ribosomal RNA
Rfam family: Bacterial small subunit ribosomal RNA
Source: RNAcentral
AUACGAGGGGUGCAAGCGUUAUUCGGAAUUACUGGGCGUAAAGGGUGUGUAGACGGCGUAUUAAGUCUGUUGUUAAAUCCUCCGGCCUAACCGGAGAUCUGCGGUGGAAACUGAUAUGCUAGAGGAUGGAAGAGAGAAGUGGAAUUCCCGGAGUAGCGGUAAAAUGCGUGGAUCUCGGGAGGAACACCAAUGGCGAAGGCAGCUUCUUGGUCCAUUCCUGACGUUGAGACAUGAAAGCGUGGGGAGCAAACAGGAUUAGAAACCCCAGUAGUCC